Molecule: ribosomal RNA, 468 nt
Filed under: uncultured bacterium
Lineage: Bacteria
Description: partial 16S ribosomal RNA
Rfam family: Bacterial small subunit ribosomal RNA
Source: RNAcentral
GACGAACGCUGGCGGCGUGCUUAACACAUGCAAGUCGAACGGAAAGGCCCUGCUUUUGUGGGGUGCUCGAGUGGCGAACGGGUGAGUAACACGUGAGUAACCUGCCCUUGACUUUGGGAUAACUUCAGGAAACUGGGGCUAAUACCGGAUAGGAGCUCCUGCUACAUGGUGGGGGUUGGAAAGUUUCGGCGGUUGGGGGUGGACUCGCGGCUUAUCAGCUUGUUGGUGGGGUAGUGGCUUACCAAGGCUUUGACGGGUAGCCGGCCUGAGAGGGUGACCGGCCACAUUGGGACUGAGAUACGGCCCAGACUCCUACGGGAGGCAGCAGUGGGGAAUAUUGCACAAUGGGCGGAAGCCUGAUGCAGCAACGCCGCGUGCGGGAUGACGGCCUUCGGGUUGUAAACCGCUUUCGCCUGUGACGAAGCGUGAGUGACGGUAAUGGGUAAAGAAGCACCGGCUAACUACGUG